CCUACGGGAGGCAGCAGUGAGGAAUAUUGGUCAAUGGACGAGAGUCUGAACCAGCCAAGUAGCGUGAAGGAUGACUGCCCUAUGGGUUGUAAACGUCUUUUAUAUGGGAAUAAAAUGUUCCACGUGUGGGAUUUUGUAUGUACCAUAUGAAUAAGGAUCGGCUAACUCCGUGCCAGCAGCCGCGGUAAUACGGAGGAUCCGAGCGUUAUCCGGAUUUAUUGGGUUUAAAGGGGGCGUAGGUGGAUUGUUAAGUCAGUUGUGAAAGUUUGCGGCUCAACCGUAAAAUUGCAGUUGAAACUGGCAGUCUUGAGUACAGUAGAGGUGGGCGGAAUUCGUGGUGUAGCGGUGAAAUGCUUAGAUAUCACGAAGAACUCCGAUUGCGAAGGCAGUUCACUGGACUGCAACUGACACUGAGGCUCGAAAGUGUGGGUAUCAAACAGGAUUAGAUACCCUUGUAGUC
This 460-nucleotide ribosomal RNA is filed under the name uncultured bacterium. Its description in RNAcentral is "partial 16S ribosomal RNA". It matches the Rfam family "Bacterial small subunit ribosomal RNA", at positions 338 to 795 of the family's 1533-position model. The record is from RNAcentral.